UCUCCGUAGGUGAACCUGCGGAGGGAUCAUUACAGAGUUCAUGCCCUAACGGGUAGAUCUCCCACCCUAUGUUAUCAUCACUUUGUUGCUUUGGCGGGCCGUCAGGCCUCGGCUUGGCUACCGGCUCUCACUGGUAAGCGCCCGCCAGAGAACCCCAAACCCUGAAUAUCAGUGUCGUCUGAGUACUAUAUAAUAGUUAAAACUUUCAACAACGGAUCUCUUGGUUCUG
Molecule: unclassified non-coding RNA, 229 nt
Filed under: plant metagenome
Description: partial contains small subunit ribosomal RNA, internal transcribed spacer 1, and 5.8S ribosomal RNA
Source: RNAcentral